AUGGUGCUUCCUAAGGAGAUGGGGUCUCUUAGAGGGGACUUGGCGAUGCCGACUGCGACCUCAUUGUCUUCAUUGGAGCCGAGUCAGGUGCUCACCUUUGUGGACCUUGGAGGUUUGGCGGUUGCUGUUGCUGCUCUCUCACCUGAGGUUGUUGGCCCGGUGGCAUUUGUUGGUGCUGAGGUUGAUGAGGUAGGUGGUUUUGCACCUGUUGCUGAGGCGCCGAAGCCCGUCCGGUCUCCCAUCUUUGACCGUGAUGCUAUGUUGGCAUGCAUUGACGAGGUGGUCUUCAUGAAAAGGCUUGGCCGCUUGCUCACCGGCUUGGAUGCAGCUUGUCCUAGGUCUGCCAAGACGAUUGCUUGCCUCCUAGCGGAGGAGGUUUCUACGGGCAAAAUGAAGAAGGUGAAGAAGGUUAUCAGGAACAUAGGCAAGAAGAGUGACGUCAGUAGGAAGGCGUCCGCGGCUGCUUAA
RNAcentral lists this ribosomal RNA (468 nucleotides) under Triticum aestivum (bread wheat). RNAcentral's name for it is "partial small subunit ribosomal RNA". Lineage: Eukaryota; Viridiplantae; Streptophyta; Magnoliopsida; Poales; Poaceae. The record is from RNAcentral.